RNAcentral lists this ribosomal RNA (264 nucleotides) under uncultured bacterium. RNAcentral describes it as "partial 16S ribosomal RNA". It matches the Rfam family "Bacterial small subunit ribosomal RNA", at positions 793 to 1055 of the family's 1533-position model. The record is from RNAcentral.
GUCCACGCCGUAAACGAUGGAUACUAGGUGUAGGAGGUAUCGACCCCUUCUGUGCCGCAGUUAACACAAUAAGUAUCCCACCUGGGGAGUACGACCGCAAGGUUGAAACUCAAAGGAAUUGACGGGGGCCCGCACAAGCAGUGGAGUAUGUGGUUUAAUUCGAAGCAACGCGAAGAACCUUACCAGGACUUGACAUCCCUCUGACCGCUCUAGAGAUAGAGCUUUCCUUCGGGACAGGGGUGACAGGUGGUGCAUGGUUGUCGU